AUGGAGAUGUGCAGGCUCAUGGAGCAGGUUGUGUUCUCGGAUCCAUACAUGGCCUCUAAAUACACUUGCUGGGAUUCGCCUCUUCUUGACGCUGAAGCGGUUCGAGAGGAUGAUGGUUUUGGAACGUGCUCGUUGGUCUGCCGGUCAUUUGAUUUGUGCCAGCUUGCUACUCCUCGUCCACCACCUUGCAGGUCGACCUCUUUUCUUUUCCCCUUCUCUGCUUUUAGGCUAGGCUUGAAUUUUUGCAGCCAUGUGAUGCCUGCGUGUAAUAUGUUGACCUCCACUUCUGGUUCCACUUCUCCGCCGCUGCCCCACCGUCCAGGUCCAGCCCCACUCCCCCGUCACUCCUCCUACGUCCUCUGCAGGUGCUCCCCCAUCACUCCCCCUUCUCCUCCAUGGUCUACUGCAGGUUCUCUCCUCUCUCUGACCGCUGCUCCAUCCAUCAUCUUGGAACUGCAGGAGAAGAAUGUGUUAUGUUGGGCUCGGACUAUGUUGACAGCCAUCUUGGCCAGCAAGAGGAUGCUCACCUGCUUCGUCUUCCUCACCAGUCGGCUCUUAUUAACCAAUGAUGAUGUAUCUUCAAGAUUUACCAUGAAUCUCAGCAAUCAGCCUUUUAAAGAGGUGUUCAUGAGUGAUGUACAGCUGCACACAAGGAUUUGUGCCAUGUGGCACUAUCCGUUCAAAGAAAUGCUUUAUCCUGCUGCAAGAGACCUGGAUGACUACCUAGGAUUUAGAUGUGUUAGACCAGACCCCAAGAUAUAUCAUGCGCUCAAUGCUAAAGAGGUAUAUUGCCAAGGAGCAAUCAUAUAUGGCCAGGCCAUGCUAAGGCCAAGGACGGUGGCUGCCACCACACGCAUUUAUUUCUGGAUCUGCGAUGACCAUGUUAUAAUCAUCUCCUUCAGCCACGAGGACAGGGUUAGCCUUUUUGAUUGGGUGACAAAAACAUUCUUAUCAUUAAAGCUCAAGCUCAAGGCAUCACUCAAAACAGAGUUUUUGCAUCCUUGGUCUAAAUGCCACCAUCGCGUCAUGGAAUUCUCUCCCUUUAGUGUGACAACAAGAGAAGAAAGGGUGUAA
Molecule: ribosomal RNA, 1074 nt
Filed under: Triticum aestivum (bread wheat)
Lineage: Eukaryota; Viridiplantae; Streptophyta; Magnoliopsida; Poales; Poaceae
Description: partial small subunit ribosomal RNA
Source: RNAcentral